AUUGAACGCUGGCGGCAGGCCUAACACAUGCAAGUCGAGCGGAGCGGCGGACGGGUGAGUAAUGCCUAGGAGUCUGCUUGGUCGUGGGGGACACCGUCCGGAAACGGGCGUUAAUACCGCAAACUAACAGUUGAGCCUAGGUCGGUUUAACUAGUUGGUGGGGUACAGGCCUACCUAGGCGACGAUCCGUAACUGGUCUGCGGGGAUGACCAGUCACCCUGGAACGGAGACACGGUCCACACUCCGACGGGGGGCAGCAGUGGGGAAUAUUGCACAAGGGGCGAAAGCCUAAUCUAGCAAUACCGCGUGUGUGAAGAAGGUCUUCGGAUUGUAAAGCACUGUAAGUUGGGAGGCGUUACCAUCAGAAUAAGCACCGGCUAACUACGUGCCAGCAGCCGCGGUAAUAC
RNAcentral lists this ribosomal RNA (407 nucleotides) under uncultured bacterium. RNAcentral describes it as "partial 16S ribosomal RNA". It matches the Rfam family "Bacterial small subunit ribosomal RNA", at positions 30 to 526 of the family's 1533-position model. The record is from RNAcentral.